Long non-coding RNA from Antechinus flavipes (yellow-footed antechinus), 407 nucleotides. RefSeq lists it as uncharacterized. NCBI's taxonomy places the organism in Eukaryota, Metazoa, Chordata, Mammalia, Dasyuromorphia, Dasyuridae. The transcript is spliced from 3 exons. The record is from RefSeq and is a predicted model, not a curated record.
UUCUCUGUGUGCAUCCUGAGGUUGAAAUGGCCCAGUGUGGGCCCUGUGGGACAGAUGCUGCUGGAGAAGGCCUUUCCUUCUCAACCCAAGGCUGCCCAGAUGCUAUCAGCACUACUGGACUGGCAGAGAGUACCAGCCUUUACCAUCUUCCCAGAACUUUGGUACCCCCAUCUGCCUCCAUGAUGUAUCCUAAGGCCUGAGGACCCUCCUGCCUGACUUGCAGCUGAAUCCUCUGAAAAUGUGACAGCAAAUAAUCCAAUAUGUGAUAAACAUGUCCAGGCCUUCUAUACGUAUUUCCACAAUUAUCGAUGCUGCACAAGAAAAAUCAGAUCAAAAAGAAAAAAAGAAAAAGAAAACAAAAAGCAAGCAAACUACAAAAAAGGUAAAAAUACAAUGUUGUUAUCCAC